CUGGCUUAUAACAGAAAAUGAAUACAGUGUAUAUAACUUAAUACACUCAAACCCAUCCGGCCAGAACAAAGUGAAUAUUCAUGAUGAGCCGUUGCAGACCUGACUUCAUAGCAGCAGAGUGGUGUAAAACAAUCUCAUUUUUGUUCUUCUGAGCGACAGCUAACUCAACGACACUCGCAUUUUAUUUCACAACACAGUUCUCUUCCAGGCAUAAAAUAAUGCCAAAAAUAUAAUGUUUCUACCACUCACUGUAUAUUAGGAUCCAUGGUGGGAUUUGGACGUGUAUAUGGAGGACGUGAUGCUGUAUUUUGGAGUUCAUUGGCAAGGUGACUUCGUCGUGGGUCAUCUCACCUCUGAUUGGAGCAGCAGUGUCAUUUCUUGUCUACAAAUGCAUUGGCAGGUGCUCAAAAUCCAGGGCAAGUAGCUGCUGCUGCAGCAGCACCAAUUGGUGUCUUUAUUGCUGUUACUGGAAUCUCUAUUGUAGCUUUCCCUCUAAGAAAGAUUCUCUCUAAAGCUAUUCUCCAAGCUCUAGCACUUGGCACUGCUGGAGCUUUCCUGUUUGACAGAUGUAUUCGUAAACAGCUUGGUCACCUCCUCAUGGAGUCCAGUUUAACACAACCAGAUCCAAAGGAUUUGCUGCUGAAUUUGCAGCUGCUUCUGUGGUUCUGUUUGCAUCAAAUCUCGGACUACCUAUUUCUGCAACUCAUACACUGGUUGGUGCAGUCAUGGGUGUAGGGGUUGCCAGGGGACUUAACAGCGUAAGAGCAGAAACAGUGAAAGAGAUCGUGACGAUUCCUGUUGGUGCUACAUUUACAAUUAUUUACACAUGGAUCUUGAACAGGCUUUUAUCAUAUGUUCUGUAAGAAUUGAGUGUACAUUUAAAAAAAUUUAAAUGUAUCGAUGCUUAAUGAUUUAAA
Molecule: long non-coding RNA, 917 nt
Organism: Daucus carota subsp. sativus
Lineage: Eukaryota; Viridiplantae; Streptophyta; Magnoliopsida; Apiales; Apiaceae
Exons: 2
Source: RefSeq, a predicted model, not a curated record